RNAcentral lists this ribosomal RNA (468 nucleotides) under uncultured bacterium. Its description in RNAcentral is "partial 16S ribosomal RNA". It matches the Rfam family "Bacterial small subunit ribosomal RNA", at positions 28 to 507 of the family's 1533-position model. The record is from RNAcentral.
GACGAACGCUGGCGGCGGGCUUAACACAUGCAAGUCGAACGGAAAGGCCCUGCUUUGGUGGGGUGCUCGAGGGGCGAACGGGUGAGUAACACGUGAGUAACCUGCCCUUGACUUUGAGAUAACUUCAUGAAACUGGGGCUAAUACCGGGUAGGAGCUCCUGCUGCAUGGUGGGGGUUGGAAAGUUUCGGCGGUUGGGGAUGUACUCGCGGCUUAUCAGCUUGUUGGUGGGGUAGUGGCUUACCAAGGCUUUGACGGGUAGCCGGCCUGAGCGGGUGACCGGCCACAUUGGGACUGAGACACGGCCCCGACCCCUACGGGAGGCAGCAGUGGGGGAUAGUGCAAAAUGGGCGGAAGCCUGAUGCAGCAACGCCGCGUGCGGGAUAACGGCCUUCGGGUUGUAAACCGCUUUCGCCUGUGACGAAGAGUGAGUGACGGUAAUGGGUAAAGAAGCACCGGCUAAAUACGUG